Molecule: transfer RNA, 72 nt
Filed under: Chitinophagales bacterium
Lineage: Bacteria; Pseudomonadati; Bacteroidota; Chitinophagia; Chitinophagales
Description: tRNA-Lys
Rfam family: tRNA
About the family: Transfer RNA (tRNA) molecules are approximately 80 nucleotides in length. Their secondary structure includes four short double-helical elements and three loops (D, anti-codon, and T loops).
Source: RNAcentral
GACCCAGUAGCUCAGCGGUAGAGCAUUUGCCUUUUAAGCAAGGGGUCCCGGGUUCAAAUCCCGGCUGGGUCA